Molecule: long non-coding RNA, 517 nt
Organism: Athene cunicularia (burrowing owl)
Lineage: Eukaryota; Metazoa; Chordata; Aves; Strigiformes; Strigidae
Exons: 4
Source: RefSeq, a predicted model, not a curated record
CUGUGCACAUGCCAGUCCUUGGGACUAGCACUGGCUGGGGAAGCACUUCACCAUUGCUUAGCUCUGGACCUAGCCUUCAUGCCAACAUGAACCAAAUCUCUGGGACCAAUAAGCCACAUUGUGCAGGAUGCAGAUGCUGAUAGGAGAAACCAGAAUUAUUUCUCUAUCUGUGAAUCAGUACAGAAGACCAGUACAAGAUCCAGAACCUAAAAGUUUGACUCAGUUAUUCCUACUAAGAGGAGUAGUAUUCCCAGUUAUCUCUUUGUGAAGUUCUUGGACCAGACUACCACAGGUUAUAGGUAUCAGUAGAGAGAACAGUAGGAAUGUUUGGUGGGAAGCAGGUAGACUGCAGACAGACAUGAACCAACCUUUUGUCCAGGGGCUCCAUCUUCUCCUGGAAGACCAGGCAAACCUGCCAGUCCUGAAGGGCCUGGCUCACCCUGACAUCAAUAAAAAAUUUCCCCUGGAAAAAUGAAAAAGCAAAACAGGUUGUGAGGAUAUAUAACCCAAAUGUAAG